GAUGAAGAACGCAGCGAAAUGCGAUAAGUAAUGUGAAUUGCAGAAUUCAGUGAAUCAUCGAAUCUUUGAACGCACAUUGCGCCCGCCAGCAUUCUGGCGGGCAUGCCUGUUCGAGCGUCAUUUCAACCCUCAAGCUCUGCUUGGUGUUGGGGCCCUACGGUUGACGUAGGCCCUUAAAGGUAGUGGCGGACCCUCUCGGAGCCUCCUUUGCGUAGUAACUAACGUCUCGCAUUGGGAUUCGGAGGGACUCUUGCCGUAAAACCCCCAAAUUUUCUAAUGGUUGACCUCGGAUCAGGUAGGAAUACCCGCUGAACUUAAGCAUAUCAAUAAGCGGA
Molecule: unclassified non-coding RNA, 335 nt
Filed under: soil metagenome
Description: partial contains 5.8S ribosomal RNA, internal transcribed spacer 2, and large subunit ribosomal RNA
Rfam family: 5.8S ribosomal RNA (bases 1-120)
Source: RNAcentral